RNAcentral lists this transfer-messenger RNA (404 nucleotides) under Dysgonomonadaceae. Its description in RNAcentral is "UBA4179 sp002381125 Standard tmRNA". It matches the Rfam family "transfer-messenger RNA". From Rfam's summary of the family: Bacterial tmRNA, also known as 10Sa RNA or SsrA, is named for its dual tRNA and mRNA-like properties. The record is from RNAcentral. RNAcentral also lists the same sequence under 1 other name. Lineage: Bacteria; Pseudomonadati; Bacteroidota; Bacteroidia; Bacteroidales.
GGGGUUGACCGGUUUUGACAGCGAGCAGAAGAGGUUUGCAAGCAUGCAGUGCGUUGACGUUUUUUGCACUUUAAUCUCAAACGUCGAAUCAAUAACUGGCAAUAACAACUAUGCUCUUGUUGCGUAAUCGAAGUACAGUAGAUUAAUCGCUUAAUCCCGGCACAAGGUGUUGGGACAAGACAUCACCCGGAAGCUGUGGCUCCGAAGCAUUCCGAUAUGGUGGUGCAGAUAAAUCGGAGAUAGGAUAGGCGAUGCUUCGGCGUCUAUCCGAAAUAUAAGAAGCUAAGGAAAGAGGUUGGUAGCUUCAGCCGUUCUCUUUCCCUACAAUUAAAGUGAAGCUAAGCAUGUAGAAAGCAAAUGGCUUCCUCGUUUGGACGAGGGUUCGAAUCCCUCCAACUCCACAC